Microplitis mediator is the source of this 797-nucleotide long non-coding RNA. RefSeq lists it as uncharacterized. The record is from RefSeq and is a predicted model, not a curated record. The transcript has 2 exons. Lineage: Eukaryota; Metazoa; Arthropoda; Insecta; Hymenoptera; Braconidae.
UUUUAUUGAAGGACAUAAGUAUAUAAAGCGAGGAUUCAUUUGGAAUAGCAAGAGUGAAAAAGUCUUAAGUUAAGUUGAAGACUAUUUUUUUCAUUGCCUUAAAAACUUUGAAACUUUGAAUUUUCAUUGAAGAAAAUAAAAAUGACCUGGAGUAGAAUUUUCGUAAUAAUAAACUUGUUUAUAAUUAUUGAAGUGCAAUCAUAUGUACACAAUAGAUAUUCCGAUAAACUUGUAUGCAAUGAUUUGAUAGUACAACGCGUAUGUUAUUAUACGUGUGUACCGGGGGCAAGAUGGAUAGAUAAUCAAUGCCGUCCAAUUUGCUCUGAUGCUGAAAUUUGGAGUAAUGGCGCAUGCGAACCAAAAUGUUCUUUCGGGUAUCGUUGGCUUGACGGAAAUUGUCAGCCGUUAUGUUCAUACGGUACCAAAUGGAUCAACGGACUUUGUCAAGUGCCAGUAGAAGAACCUAGCGGGUGCUCGUCUGGUAUCGACUAUAUUUUUGGCAAAUGCCGCAAUAGUUGUUCCAAUAAUCAGUGUCGACCGAGAUGUCCUGAAGGGGAAGUUUUUGUUGACAAUGAAUGUAAGUCCAAGUGUUAUAAUGGCUACCGUUGGAUUAAUAAUCAAUGCCGACCAAAAUGUUCAACUUUUGUUCAAGACUUUUUAGUAAGACGGAUUACAACUGAUUGUUGGGAUUAAUUAUUAUCAGAAAUAAAUUUAUGGAAAAAUAUUAUUGUAAAUUGAAAUUGAAUUUUUUGUAUUAAUAACAAAAUAAUAAAAAAUAUUUUAUAUUAGAAAACAUU